Molecule: ribosomal RNA, 253 nt
Filed under: uncultured bacterium
Lineage: Bacteria
Description: partial 16S ribosomal RNA
Rfam family: Bacterial small subunit ribosomal RNA
Source: RNAcentral
AACGUAGGAGGCAAGCGUUAUCCGGAGUUACUGGGCGUAAAGCGCGUGUAGGUGGAUCGGUAAGUUACUUCUAAAAGCUCCUGGCUAAACUAGGAGAGGUUGAGUGAUACUGCCAGUCUUGAAUAGAGGAGAGGUUGACGGAAUUCCGCGUGUAGUGGUGAAAUGCGUAGAGAUGCGGAAGAACACCAGUGGCGAAGGCGGUCAACUGGCCUCAUAUUGACACUCAGACGCGAAGGCAUGGGUAGCGAACGGG